AAAACGUAUUUCAAGUACUAGAGACUUGUGCUUUGGAAUGUACACACAUUUUGACCAUAUGAUUACGCCCUGAAAAUUUCAUUGAAGAUUGUACGUCUGUA
Molecule: long non-coding RNA, 101 nt
Organism: Drosophila navojoa
Lineage: Eukaryota; Metazoa; Arthropoda; Insecta; Diptera; Drosophilidae
Source: RefSeq, a predicted model, not a curated record